GUAGGUGGCAAGCGUUGUCCGGAAUUAUUGGGCGUAAAGCGCGCGCAGGCGGUUCUUUAAGUCUGAUGUGAAAGCCCACGGCUCAACCGUGGAGGGUCAUUGGAAACUGGAGAACUUGAGUACAGAAGAGGAAAGCGGAAUUCCACGUGUAGCGGUGAAAUGCGUAGAGAUGUGGAGGAACACCAGUGGCGAAGGCGGCUUUCUGGUCUGUAACUGACGCUGAGGCGCGAAAGCGUGGGGAGCAAACAGGAUUAGAUACCCUGGUAGUCCACGCCGUAAACGAUGAGUGCUAAGUGUUAGGGGGGUUUCCGCCCCCCUUAGUGCUGCAGCUAACGCAUUAAGCACUCCGCCUGGGAGUACGGCCGCAAGGCCG
This 373-nucleotide ribosomal RNA is filed under the name uncultured organism. Its description in RNAcentral is "partial 16S ribosomal RNA". It matches the Rfam family "Bacterial small subunit ribosomal RNA", at positions 527 to 896 of the family's 1533-position model. The record is from RNAcentral.